This 222-nucleotide ribosomal RNA is filed under the name uncultured microorganism. RNAcentral describes it as "partial 16S ribosomal RNA". It matches the Rfam family "Bacterial small subunit ribosomal RNA", at positions 346 to 542 of the family's 1533-position model. The record is from RNAcentral.
GUGCAGCAGGCGCGAAUCUUCCACAAUGGGGGAAACCCUGAUGGAGCGACGCCGCGUGCGGGAUGAAGGCCCUAUGGGUUGUAAACCGCUGUCCAGUGGAAAGAACAUCCUCCGGCUGAAUAGGUCGGAGGCCUGACGUUACCCACUGCAGAAAGGUCCCGGCCAACUCCGUGCCAGCAGCCGCGGUAAUACGGGGGGGACGAGCGUUUGGUCCCGGAAUCA